UGAUCCGGUUCCUGUUUAGGCUGAUCUGAGCUACGGGUUGUCCAAGGUGAAAGAGCAGCCUGCACCGACCGGCAUCGAGAACACGACUAACCGGCAGGUACUUGGUGGUAGCAGGUGUGCUAUGAGGGAUGAGACAGUACUACCAGGGUUUGCUAUCCGAAUAACAACCAGCAGCCUGCUGCUGUGACACCUUGCCAGAGACCACACUAUCGCUUUCUUCCCCUUCAAGAUGAGCCAACGCAACGUCCUGGUGCUAGCUACGCUCACCAUCGAAGCCAGCUACAAUCUUCAUGCUCAGUAGGUACACUGGGGCAACCGGCAAUUGGGGGUAGCGUUGGGCGGUAUGCGUGUGCCGCAGUGGUCAUCGGUACCGCAUCCGCGACUUCCUUCGCAAGCAGCAGUCGAU
Long non-coding RNA from Panicum virgatum (switchgrass), 406 nucleotides. RefSeq lists it as uncharacterized. The record is from RefSeq and is a predicted model, not a curated record. NCBI's taxonomy places the organism in Eukaryota, Viridiplantae, Streptophyta, Magnoliopsida, Poales, Poaceae. The transcript has 3 exons.